CCUUUUACAAGUGACUUUUCCUCAGACAACAAUUGAAUUCUAAUGUGUUUAUCUUGAACUUGUAUUAUGGCUGGUAGCCUAAGCAUUGUAUUUCAACAGCCUCUUAAAAGUGUCCAUAAUAGAUGUGGAAAAUCAAAGUGCCACACAUCCAGUUGUUUUUCAGCUUUUGGUGCCUUAAUUUGCAUCGCCUGAUCAGCUGAGGAUCUGCUGAGUGCAGAAACAAUCUUCGUGCACCGGCUAAUUUAUAGCAUGGCAGAACAGUUGUUUUCUAGACAACUUGUAAGGAAACUGCUUCUCCUCAUUUGUCUUCUGAUCAGAGCUGCACAAGAACUCUUGAUCAUUUACAAAUGACGAAAGUGAGACUUGUAAAAG
This 372-nucleotide long non-coding RNA is filed under the name Homo sapiens (human). RNAcentral describes it as "HSALNT0131103". Lineage: Eukaryota; Metazoa; Chordata; Mammalia; Primates; Hominidae. The record is from RNAcentral.